GCGCCUUUUGGGUUAGAGUCCAAGGGGACAAAACCAUGAGAUCCAAAAUCUUGAGGUGGCCGAAAAUGGUUGAGCCAUAGCAGACAAUACCUUGGCAGUUUUGCAUGAGCCGUUCCAGAACCAAAUCACUGGAAUAAUUGUUUAAAACAGUAAUUAGCUAAUCAUGUUUAAUUCAUCAUUUCCCUCAAUAACCUUUUUAACUAAAUAACAUAUACCAGCAUUAGUGCCAUAUAUAAAGUGUCACUUAUAUUGGAAAUUAAGAGAGAGCAUAACAUUCAUGAACUAAACUCAAACAAGCAUCUCCCAACACUUAAAUGUAUUGAGAAGAUACGUAUUUUAUUCUUGAAGCCAAAUGCAAAUUUGGCUACAAUUAACACAUAUUAUUGCAAACAUAAUUAAUCCUUCAAUUUGGCAAUGCAACAAGUACAAGAACCACAUUGAGGGACACAAACUCUGCAAUAGGAUAUGACAUCAAGAUUAUGAUCAGUUGUUUUCAGUUGAUCAGCAGCAGACUGGGAUAAGAGGAUUCUGUGUGUUGGAUUAUCAAUAAUAUUACGUGAGCUAGCACUUUGGUUGAAGCAAAGUGUAGAUAAAACAAUGAAAAUGGCAAAAAUUGCUAAUAUGGUUCUUGCCAUUGCACUAGUAGAUACUAUAUAGGCUAGUAUUG
This 667-nucleotide long non-coding RNA is filed under the name Nicotiana tabacum (common tobacco). Its description in RNAcentral is "long non-coding RNA (NTAB_LNC008504)". Lineage: Eukaryota; Viridiplantae; Streptophyta; Magnoliopsida; Solanales; Solanaceae. The record is from RNAcentral.